Molecule: transfer-messenger RNA, 353 nt
Filed under: Candidatus Opitulatrix roisinitermitis
Lineage: Bacteria; Bacillati; Actinomycetota; Actinomycetes; Bifidobacteriales; Bifidobacteriaceae
Rfam family: transfer-messenger RNA
About the family: Bacterial tmRNA, also known as 10Sa RNA or SsrA, is named for its dual tRNA and mRNA-like properties. Its role is to liberate the mRNA from a stalled ribosome.
Source: RNAcentral
GGGGAUGAAAUGGCUUCGACAAUUAGCGUUGAUUGUUUGCUAAGCGUGCCGAGAAUAUCUAUUACUCGUAAAAAUAUUAGGUAAAACAAUAAUUGCAAAUAGCAAUAAUCAAUCUUUAGCACUUGCUGCUUAAAGGGUGAAUUCAAUGUUUGCCUUCGGCAUUGGAUUCGCUUCAUACCAGAAGGCUAACUGCAAAAAGUUGUCAGUUUUUUGCAGGACAUUUUUUGACUUUUGAAUUUGUUUGAGGCUGACAUAACUAGAUGGCAAAUUCGAGAAAUAAAUUUAUGUCUGCGCACGGAGAAAACGAAUGGUCCGGUAGUUGGACGGCGGAUCGUUACCGCCCAUCUCCACGA